RNAcentral lists this ribosomal RNA (467 nucleotides) under Conopeum reticulum. Its description in RNAcentral is "partial 16S ribosomal RNA". It matches the Rfam family "Bacterial large subunit ribosomal RNA", at positions 1814 to 2592 of the family's 2925-position model. The record is from RNAcentral. Lineage: Eukaryota; Metazoa; Bryozoa; Gymnolaemata; Cheilostomatida; Electridae.
CAUAGCUUCUUGAAACCUUUGGAAGUGCCGUCUGCCCGGUGAACUUUAUUGUUUAAACGGCCGCAUAUGUGCUAAGGUAGCAUAAUAAUUUGUCUUUUAAUUGAGGACUAGUAUGAAAGGCAUAACGAAGCCCAACUGUCUCUCCCAAUCUUAAAUUUAAAUUGAUUUAGAAGUGAAAAAUCUUCUAUAACACUAGAGGACGAGAAGACCCUGUAGAGUUUUAGUAUAAGAAGUAUAAACAACACUUCAGUACUUUUAUUGGGGCAAUAGAGGAACAAAAAAAAUCCUCCUAAUUUUAAUAAUAUAUUAGAAAAGAUCCUCAAAGAGAAUAAGAAAAACUACCUGAGGGAUAACAGCGUAAUUCUCCCGAAGAGAUCUAAUCGAGGGGAGAGUUUGCGACCUCGAUGUUGGACUAAGGUUACCUUAAGGUGCAGCAGCCUUUGAGGUGGGCCUGUUCGGCCCUUUAU